Molecule: unclassified non-coding RNA, 323 nt
Filed under: soil metagenome
Description: partial contains 5.8S ribosomal RNA, internal transcribed spacer 2, and large subunit ribosomal RNA
Rfam family: 5.8S ribosomal RNA (bases 1-120)
Source: RNAcentral
GAUGAAGAACGUAGCGAAAUGCGAUAAGUAGUGUGAAUUGCAGAAUUCAGUGGAUCAUCGAAUCUUUGAACGCACAUUGCGCCCCUUGGUAUUCCAUGGGGCAUGCCUGUUCGAGCGUCAUUUGUACCUUCAAGCUUUGCUUGGUGUUGGGUGUUUGUCCUGAGGGACUCGCCUUAAAGUAAUUGGCAGCCAGUGUUUGGUUUUGAAGCGCAGCACAAGUCGCGAUUCAAGGCUAUACACCAGCUUCCACAAGCCUUUUUCACUUUUGACCUCGGAUCAGGUAGGGAUACCCGCUGAACUUAAGCAUAUCAAUAAGCGGAGGA